UUUAAGAGGGAUGAGAGUUUCAAGGGGCCGGGGUCGCUCACAUGGAAACAGCUGCUGCGUAUUUGCAAGGCCAGUGCUUAACAACUUGCUCUUUUUGGGAUACCGUGUGCACGUGCACUUAACACUGGAUUUGCCAUUGAGGAGGACAAAGUGACAAAAAUACAGAGAAGUAGGUGCGAAACUGGAGAGGAUUGCAAUGGAUUGUCUCAGGAGAGUGCAAAGCAAAAAGCAUAGGCAUGGUAGGUUGGAUUCUGUGGUUAAAAACUAUGAGAAAUAUUAUUUUUCGUAAGUGAAAUUAUUUGAACAA
Molecule: long non-coding RNA, 307 nt
Organism: Carya illinoinensis
Lineage: Eukaryota; Viridiplantae; Streptophyta; Magnoliopsida; Fagales; Juglandaceae
Exons: 2
Source: RefSeq, a predicted model, not a curated record